RNAcentral lists this microRNA (22 nucleotides) under Drosophila ananassae. Its description in RNAcentral is "Dan-Mir-87-P2-v2_5p* (star (passenger))". Lineage: Eukaryota; Metazoa; Arthropoda; Insecta; Diptera; Drosophilidae. The record is from RNAcentral. RNAcentral also lists the same sequence under 4 other names.
UCGCGCCUGUAUCUUGCUGAAC